GCUCAAGAAACCUCUCCCAGCAUUCCUCAGUAGCCAGCCCCCCCAAACCUCAUUGGCUAGGAUAGGGUCACAUGUCCUCUGUAAGCCAGUCAUUGGCAAGGAGAACCACUGGCUUAGCCAAUCAGAGUUUACCUCUGAGGCAUACGCGGUUGCAACCCGUGCUGCCUCACCUGAGCAGGGCAGGGCAGGGCAGAGCAGAGGUGUGAGCGAAUGGCCCUUCGACAUGCCACUGAGGGAGCGAACUGGUCAGCCUAGAGCUGCCCUUCCUGGGGAGGCUCACCUGCUUUCCUUACUGUUUAAUCCAGCUGGAUCAGGUUUCUGUUACUUGCAGCUGAAAGUGUCCUAGCUGAUAAUGGGCAGGGUGCAGAGGACCCGAUUCUGUAAUGAUGAGGGGGGUUCACGGGUCUAGGUGUCUGAUGUCAAAAGAGGGGUGGCAGGAGUUCCCAUCAUGGCUCAGUGGUUAAGGAAUCCGACUAGGAACCAUGAGGCUGUGGGUUCAAUCCCUGGCCUUGCUCAGUGGGUUAAGGAUCCGGUGUUGCCGUGACCUGUGGUGUAGGUUGCAGACGCGGCUCGAAUCCCGUGUUGCUGUGGCUCUGGUGUAGGCUGGCGGCGACAGCUCCAAUUAGAUCCCUAGCCUGGGAACCUCCAUAUGCCAAGGAGAGACACAGGAGGGCAACAGGGACCCCCGGGGGUCGUCAUCGCCGUGGAGGGAAGCUUGGAAACAGUCAGUCCUGUUCGUGGGCUCCAGGCAAAGGUCACUGAGAGGAGUGACAGGAUGCUCGGAUCCAUUUUGGGAAGAGAACUCCAGGCAGAGUGUGGACCAAGGCAGCCAUGGGCAGGUGGCCAGUGGUUGUGACCACCAGGCCUGAGGACAGUGAUGCUGAGGGUCUGAGCAGAGGCCAGGCCUCCAGCUGGCAGGUGGGAGGUUAGGAUUGACCUGUGGUGGGCUUAGGCUCUGUCACUGGCAGGAUUUGGUGACCAACUGGCCAUUGGGUGAAGGAGAAGGCAUGUGGAUGCUGAGGCUCCAAGGGCUCUGGCCCCGGCGCCCGGGGCAAGAGAUACGGGGAGGGGGUGGGGGGAAGGGCUGUGACCAGCUCGGUCGUGUGCAGUCUGAGGCUCCUGGCCCACAUCCCAGGGAGACUCAAGGGGAGCUGUGGGCAUGGGGGGAGGGGUAGAGCUUGGGGCCUGGAGCCUUUGAGGCGAGGACAAGGGACCCAAAGGGAAGGACAUCCACCCACAAGGCCCUCGCCAGUCCUUCCUUCUCAGCAGGAAGCAGCAUGGUGGCCAGAGGCCUGGCGAGUCCUCGGGGCCCUGAGCCUCCCUUGGGGUCCAGGAGCCCGAGCAGCUUAAGGAGGGAGGAGCGAAUCAGGGGAGCAGAACUGAGGCCUCAGUGAGGCCUGCAGCCAGUGGACAGGCAUUGCUUCGUUUGGGGUAGUUACAAGAACCCAAACUCCGCCUCUCCCCCAGGGCACCGAAACGUCCCGAUUUGGGGAGGGGGUUACCCAGAAAAGAGUGAGGAGAGGGCAGCUCACUGAGAGGGGGACCCCCACAGGCAGCCUCCUGGGUUCUGGCAGCUGGCCCACCCCGCCUCAGUUUCCCCGUCAUCAGUUGUCAUUGUCGGAACUGGUCCCGCCCACAGUUGCACCCAGGGAGCAGCCCUCACCCUUGAACUUGAAACCCCAGAUGGGAAAAUGGGCCUCUAACACUUUCAAGCCCCCACUGCCUACUCAGUCCUGCCUCAAGUCCAUGGCCCUCCAAACCCAGCCUCCCCCGCCCCGCCGGCUUCCCGCAGAGAGAUAUAAGGAUUUAAUAGCUGAGGGCUCUAAUGAGAGCUUAGAUUAUUAAGAUCUCACAUUUCUCUUUGAAAAUACCUCAUGAAGUAUUCUCUUAAAUAAUUAAAACUAAAAUCCACCUAGCGAAAUAAAUGAAAAGGCAUGUUUGGCUCUGGGGUGUCCCCGAGUGACUUUCCAGGCCAUCAGCCCCCUUCUGUGUGCUGUGUCACCAGAGGAAUUGGCUUAAAGUCCUGGGCUUUCUAAAUCCACUCUCUCCUUCUCUCAGGCCAGUGGUGUUGAUGAUGACGCCGGCCAAGCUACUGACCUUCCCAAUAUACCAGUGUCCUAAAGAUACACAGACAGGCCCAGAAAAAUCAUGCUGACGUCCGGUGUUGACACCAAUUGGCCAAUCCUAAAAUAAGGAUUUAUAUAUAUUCUCAGAAUGCAAUUUUAUCUGUACUCAGGAUGCGGAAUUCAGCCUCUCUGUGUGGCGAUGAGCUCAUCAUUUCUGAGAGCCAGAGCUCGGAGGACCCAGACCCAAACGCCCGGGGCUGGUGGUGCCCUGCUGAGUCCUGUUCUGGUAAAUCAGGGGCUGCCGCUUCUGUGCACAGCCUGCGGGCCUGGGACCUCCGAGCACCCCAAGGCCACUCAAUUCAGUCCUUCAGAAACCACCGCCCACGUGUCACUCUGCUCCAGAACACACAGAGCAGGUCCAACACCUGAGUGAUAAUUAAAGAAGGCCGGGGGCUGUGUCUGCCACCGGGGGGCACGUGUGAGUGUGAAUAAAACGUGGUCCCUACCCUCAAAGGGCUUCACUUUAGUGGGGAAAUAGCCAGUGUCCACACAGUGUGGUCAGCACAGGUGUGGACCCAGGGCUUGGGGAUUGGAGUUGCCGCUGCAGGGUCUCCCUGGUGGAGGAGAUGCCUGGGUGGGGUCAGGUGGCACAGGCUGUUCAGGCAGAGGGCACAGCAGAGGGAAAGGCUGGCAGGGCCCUGGGCCAGGUCAGGGAGCAAAAGUGCGGAAGGCCAAGGAGGCUGGGGUUUAUCCUGCGGGCCCAGAGGAGCCACAGAUGGGGAGGGACCUGGUCAGGUGGAUGUGGACGUGCAUCCUGCGGAGAUUCCUGGGUGGCCAGAAUGGAGGGUGGACUGGUGGGAAGGCGGUAGGUUCUGGGGCGCACUCUGCAGGCCUGAGCUGGGGAAGCAGCAUGUGACACCCCGAGAAGGCUCUGGUUUGGGGAGGUGGUAGAGGCGGAAUCACUGGGCAGUGGGCUGGGAGCUGGUGGGGGGGGUGGAGUGGGGAGUGAGCCAGGUGAUGCUCAGGAUGGGGCCUGGGUGGCUGGGUGGCUGGUGGGGCCCCCCGCUGAGAUGGGCGCAGUCAAGGACUGGGAGAAGGGUCACCUGCGGGACAGGUGGUGGAAAAGAGGAGAAAGUGAGUUUCCAGGCCAGCGUGUCGAGUCAUUCAGUCAUUUCCCGCCAGGGCCUUUGGGGGUCAGGCCAGCAGCACACGUGCCCCUAACCCAGGGGACUUAACUAAGCUACCCCGCGACCGGAUGUAAAACCACCCAUGGACAGAGAGAGAGCCCCCAGGAAGGUCCGGGGCCCCAAAAGGCUUUUCGGAGGUGAGCGGUAGCUGAGCCUAGAGGAGGGGGCAUCCUGAGAACCCCACAGGGGACAGGGCCCGGGGACUGGGGCUGGAGUCUGGAGGUUCUGUGAGGGUAACGGGGGACCCAGAAGGAGUCCCGCCAGGACUCUGACAUGACCCAAAUCACACUGUGAGGAGUUCCUGUUGUGGCGCAACAGAAACAAGCCUGACUAGUAUCCGUAAAGACAUGGUUCGAUCCCUGGCCUUGCUCUGUGGGUUAAGGAUCCGGUGUUGCCAUGAGCUGUGGUGUAGAUCACAUGCGUGGCUCAGAUCCCGCGUUGCUGUGGCUGUGGUGUAGGCUGGCGGCUGUAGCUCCAAUUCAACCCUUAGCCUGGGAACCUCCAGAUGCCACAGGUGCGGCCCUAAAAAAAAAAAUAAAUACAUAGAUAAGUAAAUAAACACCUGCAUUAGCUGCUUCGGAGGAAGAGCAGGGUGAGGACGGCAAAGUGCUGCCCAGGGCAGCCCCGUGAGGCAGCACAGGCUGUGCCCACACCAAGUCCGGGGUCUAAGAAGAUGCCUUUUCACUGCGACAUCCUAGACCCGCUCCAGGACACGGCCGCGGUCUAGCAGUUCGGUGUGUUGGAUCCCUUUCCAUUAGAUGGAGCGGGGUCUUUCUCACAGGGGCCUGGGGCCACGAGGGCUGCACUCCCAGGUGGGAUGUCCCAGAAGACGGCGCACAAGACCGGUUUUCUGGACUGCAGGGCCCGGAACCGCCCCGGCCUCAGGCAGCAGGCGGCGCGCCCUGAGCCCCGGUUAAGUCAGGAGGCAGGGCCGGGGUGGAGCGGGCAGCCUCAGGGCAGGACUAGGAGGCGGGGAGGAAGAGGCAGAGCCCGGACAGGGGCAGACGGGGGCUGGGGAGGACCUCUGGGGGGCAGAGGCAGAGAGGAGGCCUGGGCCCUGGUUGGCACGGAGGGCAGGGAGCAGACGGCUCUGCCCAGAGCGAGGGGCCCGAGGGGGGGAUCUGUCUGGGUGUGGGGAUCGGGUAUCCGCUCCAGAGGGUCCCCGGGGGGCCUUGGGGUCCACUCGUGACCUCAGACCCUCGGCCGUGGACGGCCCUCGGCCCCAGGGAGCAGCUCAGGGCCCACCAGGCACCGGGUUAUUGGGACACCCCGGCCGAGGCAGGCGGGCCGGUUUUUCCGGGAAAUAAUCUAGAGGCCUUUGCCGUGAGGACAGACACGCCUUGUUUGGUUGCACUUUGCAAAUACUGCGUUUUUCCCAAAUGGAAGAUUUUGUGGUGACCCUGCCUCCGGCGUGUCUGUCCGCGCCAUUUCUCCAGCAGCAUCUGUUCGCUUGUGUCCCUGGGUCGCAUUUUGCUAAUUCU
This 4734-nucleotide long non-coding RNA is filed under the name Sus scrofa (pig). RNAcentral describes it as "lncRNA (ENSSSCG00045010235.1)". Lineage: Eukaryota; Metazoa; Chordata; Mammalia; Artiodactyla; Suidae. The record is from RNAcentral.